Molecule: non-coding RNA, 243 nt
Organism: Vicia faba (fava bean)
Lineage: Eukaryota; Viridiplantae; Streptophyta; Magnoliopsida; Fabales; Fabaceae
Source: the annotation of a GenBank genome assembly
AUGAUAGAGUUCGAAGAUGGUAAAAAGUUACAUGAUGAAGGAGCGCUGACGCCUUUUUUUGAGCAACACAGAAGAAAAAAAACGAUGCCCUUAACUUCCUUAAGUUACCAGGAGUGCAAUGGUAUGGUCACUUUGCUCUUAAACUUGUUGAAACACUCUACCCAAGUCAAGUUGCAAAUGAAAGAAAGUGAGGUUGGGUGGCACGUUUUAGAGGCUACAGUGAUGAACUAUUGCAUAAAGUAA